This 255-nucleotide long non-coding RNA is filed under the name Lathyrus oleraceus (garden pea). Its description in RNAcentral is "Pisum sativum (pea) long non-coding RNA (PSAT_LNC002469)". The record is from RNAcentral. Lineage: Eukaryota; Viridiplantae; Streptophyta; Magnoliopsida; Fabales; Fabaceae.
CUCGAACUACCUGUUGUUCUUUCUGCAGCUCUUCAAGAGUCUUCAGGACCAGAGGGACGAAUCUAGAGUUGGAGGACUCCCCCUGAGUCAGUGCAUCAUUUCUGGCUUUGGCAGCAGACUCUUCAGCAAGGUGUGAUGCUUCUUCAACAUCAGCUUUGGCUUUUGCCUCAGCUUCAGCAGCAGCAGCAUCAACAAGAUAUUUGGCUUCAGCUUCUCUGAUUCUCUGAAGUUCUUCUUGUCUUGCUUUCUCUUCAG